RNAcentral lists this long non-coding RNA (347 nucleotides) under Ananas comosus (pineapple). RNAcentral describes it as "long non-coding RNA (ACOM_LNC037004)". Lineage: Eukaryota; Viridiplantae; Streptophyta; Magnoliopsida; Poales; Bromeliaceae. The record is from RNAcentral.
AUGGAGUUGGUUCUCACCCCACGUUGUUUCGGGGUGUUUUCAGGUUGUUCGUGUGCGGCGCGGCGGCGCAAGGCGAGGGCGUAGCUUCGUAGAUAGCGCCCUACCCCAGAGACCGAGGUAGCAGUACCCGAGUUGGUGGUCUAGCUUGAGGGGUUUAGAGACAAAGUGCAAACUUGUAAUAAAUUGUAAUAAUGUAAUUGUAUUUGGAAGUUAAGCAAAUGUAUAAUGUGGAUGUAAAAUGAAUGCGUGUAAUAGCAGUUAGUUUUAUGUAUUUGAUACUUCCUUAUGCAAUUUGGAUUAAUAUCCGUUCCUAGUUGGAACAUUCGUUGAUUGUUGGGAUUGCGACG